UGCAAGUCGAACGAGAUCUUCGGAUCUAGUGGCGCACGGGUGAGUAACGCGUGGGAACCUACCUUUUAGUAUGGGAUAACGUUUGGAAACGAACGCUAAUACCGUAUACGCCCUCCGGGGGAAAGGUCAGCCGCUGAAAGAGGGGCCCGCGUCUGAUUAGCUUGUUGGUAGGGUAAUGGCCUACCAAGGCUACGAUCAGUAGCUGGUCUGAGAGGAUGAUCAGCCACACUGGGACUGAGACACGGCCCAGACUCCUACGGGAGGCAGCAGUGGGGAAUAUUGGACAAUGGAGGCAACUCUGAUCCAGCAAUGCCGCGUGUGUGAUGAAGGCCCUAGGGUUGUAAAGCACUUUCAACGGUGAAGAUGAUGACGGUAGCCGUA
RNAcentral lists this ribosomal RNA (381 nucleotides) under uncultured Pseudomonadota bacterium. Its description in RNAcentral is "bacterial SSU rRNA". It matches the Rfam family "Bacterial small subunit ribosomal RNA", at positions 56 to 483 of the family's 1533-position model. Lineage: Bacteria; Pseudomonadati; Pseudomonadota. The record is from RNAcentral.